This 306-nucleotide ribosomal RNA is filed under the name uncultured bacterium. RNAcentral's name for it is "partial 16S ribosomal RNA". It matches the Rfam family "Bacterial small subunit ribosomal RNA", at positions 507 to 808 of the family's 1533-position model. The record is from RNAcentral.
GACAGCAGCCGCCGCGGUAAUACGUAGGUGGCAAGCGUUGUCCGGAAUUAUUGGGCGUAAGGGCUCGCAGGCGGUUUCUUAAGUCUGAUGUGAAAGCCCCUGGCUCAACCGGGGAGGGUCAUUGGAAACUGGGAAACUUGAGUGCAGAAGAGGAGAGUGGAAUUCCACGUGUAGCGGUGAAAUGCGUAGAGAUGUGGAGGAACACCAGUGGCGAAGGCGACUCUCUGGUCUGUAACUGACGCUGAGGAGCGAAAGCGUGGGGAGCGAACAGGAUUAGAUACCCCUGUAGUCCCUGUCUCUUAUACA